This 485-nucleotide ribosomal RNA is filed under the name uncultured bacterium. RNAcentral's name for it is "partial 16S ribosomal RNA". It matches the Rfam family "Bacterial small subunit ribosomal RNA", at positions 30 to 507 of the family's 1533-position model. The record is from RNAcentral.
AUUGAACGCUGGCGGCAGGCUUAACACAUGCAAGUCGAGCGGAGAUGAGGUGCUUGCACCUUAUCUUAGCGGCGGACGGGUGAGUAAUGCUUAGGAAUCUGCCAUUUAGUGGGGGACAACAUUCCGAAAGGAAUGCUAAUACCGCAUACGUCCUACGGGAGAAAGUAGGGGAUCUUCGGACCUUGCGCUAAAUGAUGAGCCUAAGUCGGAUUAGCUAGUUGGUGGGGUAAAGGCCUACCAAGGCGACGAUCUGUAGCGGGUCUGAGAGGAUGAUCCGCCACACUGGGACUGAGACACGGCCCAGACUCCUACGGGAGGCAGCAGUGGGGAAUAUUGGACAAUGGGGGGAACCCUGAUCCAGCCAUGCCGCGUGUGUGAAGAAGGCCUUAUGGUUGUAAAGCACUUUAAGCGAGGAGGAGGCUACUGAGACUAAUACUCUUGGAUAGUGGACGUUACUCGCAGAAUAAGCACCGGCUAACUCUGUG